RNAcentral lists this ribosomal RNA (825 nucleotides) under Lophodermium nitidum. RNAcentral's name for it is "mitochondrial SSU rRNA". It matches the Rfam family "Bacterial small subunit ribosomal RNA", at positions 404 to 1171 of the family's 1533-position model. Lineage: Eukaryota; Fungi; Ascomycota; Leotiomycetes; Rhytismatales; Rhytismataceae. The record is from RNAcentral.
UUGGGGGAAUGUAUUAGUCCUCUUAUGAGGCUAGUUGUGUUUUUAGCACUACUUCGUCUAAAAACAUAACACCAACUACGUUGGAUAAAGUUCUAGAUAGAAUACUGAUUAUGACUAUUUUCUAUCUAAAUGUCUUGACCAAAUUACGUGCCAGCAGUCGCGGUAAUACGUAGAAGACUAGUGUUAUUCAUCUUUAAUAGGUUUAAAGGGUACCUAGACGGUAUUAUUAGCCCAAAACAGGGAAAUAUUUUUACUAGAGUUUUAUAUAAGAAGGGAGUAUUUAGGGAGUAGAGUUGAAAUUCUUUGAUACUCUAAGGACUGAUAAUGGCGAAAGCACUCUUCUAUGUAAUAACUGACGUUAAGGGACGAAGGCUUGGGGCGCRAACAGGAUUAGAUACCCUAGUAGUCCAUGCAGAUAAUUAUGAAUGCCAUAGACUAGGUAUAUUUUAGUUUAUAAAUGAAAGUGUAAGCAUUCCACCUCAAGAGUACUGUGGCAACGCUGGAACUGAAAUCAUUAGACCGUUUCUGAGAACAGUAGUGAAGUAUGUUAUAUAAUUCGAUAGUCCUCGUAAAACCUUACCACAACUUGAAUGGUGUCCAGUUUUAAUUUAAUAUUCAAACAAUAGCUUUUUUAACAACAUAAAGAUUAAUUUAGCUAGAUUUGAUAAAAAUAUUUAAUUAAUAGGAUGUUACAAGUGUUGCACGGUUGUCUUCAGCUAAUGUCGUGAGAUUUUGGUUAGUUCCAUAAAAUUAGCGUAAACCCGGGUUUUAUUUUUUAAUAUUUAUUAUGAUAAAGCAGUUCGUCAUUAUAUCGAAAUAUGAUAA